AAAUUGAAGAGUUUGAUCAUGGCUCAGAUUGAACGCUGGCGGCAGGCCUAACACAUGCAAGUCGAACGGUAACAGGAAGCAGCUUGCUGCUUCGCUGACGAGUGGCGGACGGGUGAGUAAUGUCUGGGAAACUGCCUGAUGGAGGGGGAUAACUACUGGAAACGGUGGCUAAUACCGCAUAACGUCGCAAGACCAAAGAGGGGGACCUUCGGGCCUCUUGCCAUCAGAUGUGCCCAGAUGGGAUUAGCUUGUUGGUGAGGUAACGGCUCACCAAGGCGACGAUCCCUAGCUGGUCUGAGAGGAUGACCAGCCACACUGGAACUGAGACACGGUCCAGACUCCUACGGGAGGCAGCAGUGGGGAAUAUUGCACAAUGGGCGCAAGCCUGAUGCAGCCAUGCCGCGUGUAUGAAGAAGGCCUUCGGGUUGUAAAGUACUUUCAGCGGGGAGGAAGGUGUUGCGGUUAAUAACCGCAGCAAUUGACGUUACCCGCAGAAGAAGCACCGGCUAACUCCGUGCCAGCAGCCGCGGUAAUACGGAGGGUGCAAGCGUUAAUCGGAAUUACUGGGCGUAAAGCGCACGCAGGCGGUCUGUCAAGUCGGAUGUGAAAUCCCCGGGCUCAACCUGGGAACUGCAUUCGAAACUGGCAGGCUUGAGUCUUGUAGAGGGGGGUAGAAUUCCAGGUGUAGCGGUGAAAUGCGUAGAGAUCUGGAGGAAUACCGGUGGCGAAGGCGGCCCCCUGGACAAAGACUGACGCUCAGGUGCGAAAGCGUGGGGAGCAAACAGGAUUAGAUACCCUG
Molecule: ribosomal RNA, 799 nt
Filed under: Salmonella enterica subsp. enterica serovar Infantis
Lineage: Bacteria; Pseudomonadati; Pseudomonadota; Gammaproteobacteria; Enterobacterales; Enterobacteriaceae
Also listed under: 1 other name
Description: partial 16S ribosomal RNA
Rfam family: Bacterial small subunit ribosomal RNA
Source: RNAcentral